RNAcentral lists this ribosomal RNA (413 nucleotides) under Listeria monocytogenes. RNAcentral describes it as "bacterial SSU rRNA". It matches the Rfam family "Bacterial small subunit ribosomal RNA", at positions 1 to 402 of the family's 1533-position model. The record is from RNAcentral. Lineage: Bacteria; Bacillati; Bacillota; Bacilli; Caryophanales; Listeriaceae.
UUUAAAGAGAGUUUGAUCCUGGCUCAGGACGAACGCUGGCGGCGUGCCUAAUACAUGCAAGUCGAACGAACGGAGGAAGAGCUUGCUCUUCCAAAGUUAGUGGCGGACGGGUGAGUAACACGUGGGCAACCUGCCUGUAAGUUGGGGAUAACUCCGGGAAACCGGGGCUAAUACCGAAUGAUAAAGUGUGGCGCAUGCCACGCUUUUGAAAGAUGGUUUCGGCUAUCGCUUACAGAUGGGCCCGCGGUGCAUUAGCUAGUUGGUAGGGUAAUGGCCUACCAAGGCAACGAUGCAUAGCCGACCUGAGAGGGUGAUCGGCCACACUGGGACUGAGACACGGCCCAGACUCCUACGGGAGGCAGCAGUAGGGAAUCUUCCGCAAUGGACGAAAGUCUGACGGAGCAACGCCGCGU